Molecule: ribosomal RNA, 1402 nt
Filed under: Lacticaseibacillus rhamnosus
Lineage: Bacteria; Bacillati; Bacillota; Bacilli; Lactobacillales; Lactobacillaceae
Description: bacterial SSU rRNA
Rfam family: Bacterial small subunit ribosomal RNA
Source: RNAcentral
CGAACGAGUUCUGAUUAUUGAAAGGUGCUUGCAUCUUGAUUUAAUUUUGAACGAGUGGCGGACGGGUGAGUAACACGUGGGUAACCUGCCCUUAAGUGGGGGAUAACAUUUGGAAACAGAUGCUAAUACCGCAUAAAUCCAAGAACCGCAUGGUUCUUGGCUGAAAGAUGGCGUAAGCUAUCGCUUUUGGAUGGACCCGCGGCGUAUUAGCUAGUUGGUGAGGUAACGGCUCACCAAGGCAAUGAUACGUAGCCGAACUGAGAGGUUGAUCGGCCACAUUGGGACUGAGACACGGCCCAAACUCCUACGGGAGGCAGCAGUAGGGAAUCUUCCACAAUGGACGCAAGUCUGAUGGAGCAACGCCGCGUGAGUGAAGAAGGCUUUCGGGUCGUAAAACUCUGUUGUUGGAGAAGAAUGGUCGGCAGAGUAACUGUUGUCGGCGUGACGGUAUCCAACCAGAAAGCCACGGCUAACUACGUGCCAGCAGCCGCGGUAAUACGUAGGUGGCAAGCGUUAUCCGGAUUUAUUGGGCGUAAAGCGAGCGCAGGCGGUUUUUUAAGUCUGAUGUGAAAGCCCUCGGCUUAACCGAGGAAGUGCAUCGGAAACUGGGAAACUUGAGUGCAGAAGAGGACAGUGGAACUCCAUGUGUAGCGGUGAAAUGCGUAGAUAUAUGGAAGAACACCAGUGGCGAAGGCGGCUGUCUGGUCUGUAACUGACGCUGAGGCUCGAAAGCAUGGGUAGCGAACAGGAUUAGAUACCCUGGUAGUCCAUGCCGUAAACGAUGAAUGCUAGGUGUUGGAGGGUUUCCGCCCUUCAGUGCCGCAGCUAACGCAUUAAGCAUUCCGCCUGGGGAGUACGACCGCAAGGUUGAAACUCAAAGGAAUUGACGGGGGCCCGCACAAGCGGUGGAGCAUGUGGUUUAAUUCGAAGCAACGCGAAGAACCUUACCAGGUCUUGACAUCUUUUGAUCACCUGAGAGAUCAGGUUUCCCCUUCGGGGGCAAAAUGACAGGUGGUGCAUGGUUGUCGUCAGCUCGUGUCGUGAGAUGUUGGGUUAAGUCCCGCAACGAGCGCAACCCUUAUGACUAGUUGCCAGCAUUUAGUUGGGCACUCUAGUAAGACUGCCGGUGACAAACCGGAGGAAGGUGGGGAUGACGUCAAAUCAUCAUGCCCCUUAUGACCUGGGCUACACACGUGCUACAAUGGAUGGUACAACGAGUUGCGAGACCGCGAGGUCAAGCUAAUCUCUUAAAGCCAUUCUCAGUUCGGACUGUAGGCUGCAACUCGCCUACACGAAGUCGGAAUCGCUAGUAAUCGCGGAUCAGCACGCCGCGGUGAAUACGUUCCCGGGCCUUGUACACACCGCCCGUCACACCAUGAGAGUUUGUAACACCCGAAGCCGG